CCUACGGGACGCAGCAGUGGGGAAUAUUGCACAAUGGGGGGAACCCUGAUGCAGCGACGCCGCGUGGGUGAAGAAGCGCCUCGGCGCGUAAAGCCCUGUCAGCAGGGAAGAAAAUGACGGUACCUGAAGAAGAAGCCCCGGCUAACUACGUGCCAGCAGCCGCGGUAAUACGUAGGGGGCAAGCGUUAUCCGGAUUUACUGGGUGUAGAGGGAGCGUAGACGGCAGGGCAAGUCUGAUGUGAAAGCACGGGGCUCAACCCCGGGACUGCAUUGGAAACUGUCAGGCUAGAGUGCAGGAGAGGUGG
This 305-nucleotide ribosomal RNA is filed under the name uncultured bacterium. RNAcentral's name for it is "bacterial SSU rRNA". It matches the Rfam family "Bacterial small subunit ribosomal RNA", at positions 338 to 660 of the family's 1533-position model. The record is from RNAcentral.